This 251-nucleotide ribosomal RNA is filed under the name uncultured bacterium. RNAcentral's name for it is "partial 16S ribosomal RNA". It matches the Rfam family "Bacterial small subunit ribosomal RNA", at positions 88 to 339 of the family's 1533-position model. The record is from RNAcentral.
CGGAUUAGUGGCGAACGGGUGAGGAACACGUGAGAAACCUGCCUCGGAUUUUGGGAUAACAGUUGGAAACGGCUGCUAAUACCGGAUGCCUUCAUUUGACCGCAUGGUUGUUUGAAGAAAGAUUUAUCGGUUUGGGAGGGUCUCGCGGCCUAUCAGCUUGUUGGUGGGGUAAUGGCCUACCAAGGCGACGACGGGUAGCCGGCCUGAGAGGGCGACCGGCCACACUGGGACUGAGACACGGCCCAGACUCC